Molecule: small RNA, 87 nt
Filed under: Hespellia stercorisuis DSM 15480
Lineage: Bacteria; Bacillati; Bacillota; Clostridia; Lachnospirales; Lachnospiraceae
Description: GA-cis RNA
Rfam family: GA-cis RNA
Source: Rfam by way of RNAcentral
AUCCGGGAGAGAGUAUAUGCAGCAUUGCUUCAUAGCAAUCUCUCUGCCGGACUGCCGCUGAACCUAGGUGAGGGGGCGCCACAUAUA